UACAGAGGUCUCAAGCGUUGUUCGGAUUCAUUGGGCGUAAAGGGUGCGUAGGCGGCUUGGCAAGUCGGAUGUGAAAACUCCAGGCUCAACCUGGAGCCGCCAUUCGAUACUGCUAUGGCUAGAGUCCGGUAGGGGAGUGUGGAAUUCCCGGUGUAGCGGUGAAAUGCGCAGAUAUCGGGAGGAACACCGAUGGCGAAGGCAGCACUCUGGGCCGGCACUGACGCUGAGGAGCGAAAGCGUGGGGAGCGAACAGG
Molecule: ribosomal RNA, 254 nt
Filed under: uncultured bacterium
Lineage: Bacteria
Description: partial 16S ribosomal RNA
Rfam family: Bacterial small subunit ribosomal RNA
Source: RNAcentral